RNAcentral lists this ribosomal RNA (253 nucleotides) under uncultured bacterium. RNAcentral's name for it is "partial 16S ribosomal RNA". It matches the Rfam family "Bacterial small subunit ribosomal RNA", at positions 524 to 776 of the family's 1533-position model. The record is from RNAcentral.
UACGUAGGGGGCAAGCGUUGUCCGGAUUUAUUGGGCGUAAAGAGCGUGUAGGCGGCCUGGAAGGUCAGCUGUGAAAACUCGAGGCUCAACCUCGAGACGUCGGUUGAAACCACCUGGCUAGAGUCCGGAAGAGGAGAGUGGAAUUCCCGGUGUAGCGGUGAAAUGCGCAGAUAUCGGGAAGAACACCCGUGGCGAAGGCGGCUCUCUGGAACGCAACUGACGCUGAGACGCGAAAGCGUGGGGAGCAAACAGG